Molecule: ribosomal RNA, 342 nt
Filed under: Triticum aestivum (bread wheat)
Lineage: Eukaryota; Viridiplantae; Streptophyta; Magnoliopsida; Poales; Poaceae
Description: partial small subunit ribosomal RNA
Source: RNAcentral
AUGCACACAUGGAGCGGUUCACGUGUGUCCCUGCAGUGUUGCAGCUGGGGCGUCCCAAGGUCCAUAGCUAGGCCCACCAAAAGAAUGGAGCGUGUGCAUAGCAAUGUCCAGCAGCACAGGAUGAACUGCUAUGCAACACACCACUACACAAGGAACGGAGGGAGUAUGAUGCAUGACAGCUUUCUGCAGCAAUGCUUCAAGGAGAAUUGGCGUGUAAGGCGAGGGAUGGUUCAUAAUCUAGCACUCCUGUUGUCAGGCCAGGUUGAGGGAACAAGGAAGUAUCAUCAUCAUGAGUGUGCCAUGAGCAGCUACUCACCAGUGCUCCGAUUCUUAGGCCCUUGA